RNAcentral lists this ribosomal RNA (253 nucleotides) under uncultured bacterium. RNAcentral describes it as "partial 16S ribosomal RNA". It matches the Rfam family "Bacterial small subunit ribosomal RNA", at positions 524 to 776 of the family's 1533-position model. The record is from RNAcentral.
UACGGAGGGUGCAAGCGUUGUUCGGAAUCAUUGGGCGUAAAGCGCGUGUAGGCGGCCGGGUAAGUCUGAUGUGAAAGCCCGGGGCUCAACCCCGGAAGUGCAUUGGAUACUGCCUGGCUAGAGGGCGAGAGAGGAAAGUGGAAUUCCUGGUGUAGGGGUGAAAUCCGUAGAUAUCAGGAGGAACAUCAGUGGCGAAGGCGACUUUCUGGCUCGUUACUGACGCUGAGACGCGACAGCGUGGGGAGCAAACAGG